Papio anubis (olive baboon) is the source of this 4153-nucleotide long non-coding RNA. Lineage: Eukaryota; Metazoa; Chordata; Mammalia; Primates; Cercopithecidae. The record is from Ensembl.
AAAAAGCCAUGAAAGCCAUCAAGCCUGGAACAACAAACUCAUGCUGGAGAAAACUGUGUCCAAAUGUGCAUGACUUCGCAGGAUUUAUGACAGAGUUAAUCAGGGGAAUAAUGGAAGAGGUUGUGAAUAUGGGCAAAAAGGUUCAGCUGCCUGAUGGGAGAUGCAAGAUUGUUGCAGAGACAGAAAUACGUUUCCAGGUGUGGACAGAGCAGGCUGAGGGAGACACUCAGAGUAAUGUGGGGUUAGUCUCUCUUUGUACCUUAUUUUAGGGUCCUUUUUUAUAUAGCUAUUGUGUUAUUUAGUGACUGGUUACUGAGCUAUGUGUGCAAUGAUUCUCUUACCACUAUAACUUUUUCUGCUUAAUGGUAUUACAGUAUUAAUGAUCGUGUUAAUAGAAGUGGCAUUGAGUCCUUUUAAUUUUUCAUUUUGGAUACAAGAUCAUCCAUCUAGUGUGAACCACUAGUUAAUUACAUUUGGUCUGAUGUUCUUGGCUGUCUCUAAGUACAUAAGUUUAGUAUGCUUAAGGAGAUGCAUAACUGGUAUUACUUGAUUAAGACUGCAUUUUCCAGGUAAUUUGUUUAAAUAAAUAGAAAGUUAUUUGAUUUCCUGCCUUUAUAAAAUUAAGGCUAAAUUUUAAAUUCUUGAAAACUGUAAGAAAAUUUGUGUUGUGUGUGUGUUUUAAGGCGCAGUUCUCUUAAUUUCUUAAUAAGUAGAUUUAUUGCAAUGUGAAAUAAAGAGUAUAUCUUGGUGGUAUCAAGACCUGUACCAAUAUUUUGUUUAUAAGGAUCCUUAUUCCUUACCCCUCUUGAGGGCAGAGUUGGAAGCCUUGCAUUUAUCCUCUUAGGAUUUUCCUUGGGACAAAAUUACCACAAAAAUCUGUGUUUAGACUGUUGACUUUUUUUUAGAAACAUUUAAUUUUAGAAUACUUUUAGGUUAAAAAAAAUUAUGAUACAGAGAAUUCUCAUUUUCCUUGUAUUUGGUUUCCUGUAGUAUUAAUAUCUUACAUCAGCAUGGCACAUUUGUCACAAUUGAUGAAUUCUAUUAAUAUAAUUAUUAUUAAAUACAGUCUGUAUUUUAUUAAGAAUUCUUUAGUUUUCCUUUAUUGUCUUUUUUUUUUUUUAAUUCUGGAUUCCAUCAAGGAUAACACAUUACAUUUAGUUGUUAUUUUCCUUAGGUUCCUCUUGGCUGUGACAAUUUCAGACCAUUGACUUUGAGAGUUAUGAAUGUCUUCUUCUACUUGUGAGAUGAGACCCAACAUUUUCUUUGGCUCUUUCUCUUUAUUUGGUCCUUAGAUUUCAGCUUUCAGUUUACCACACACACAGUCUCUGUCCAUUCUCCUCUCUUCUCCAUUUUCCCUUCUCUGUGUAUCAAGUUUUGGCCAUAUAGAAUGAAGAUUGCCCUUUAUUAUUUCACUGAGGUUUUGUUUGAUUUUUUUUACCUGCUCAUUUGAGAUCUUACCUCCUGUGGUUUUUAGAUUUUUUUUUUCUGAGCUCUGACUUGCAUUAGUGUUUUCCUGCAUGAAUGUUUUCUAAGCUAAGCUUAAGAAACCUCUACUGACAUAUAUAUUUUUCACAGUAGACAGCUCCUUCAUGUGUUCUCCUGAUUUAAUCAUUAGUUUGGAUCCAGAACAGACACAUAUUUGCUUUGUGAAUUUAAAUGAUUGAACUCUCUAAAUGGACAUUUUCUUAUAAUAACUACCUCUUGGGAUCUCUGUAAGGAGUAAAAAGAUUUUGCUUCAAACCAUAAUGGCACAGUGCUUGUAUGGGCUUCCUUUUGUCCUCCAUUCCUCCCUUCUGCUCUAUAAAGUUGACUAAUGGAACUAAAAAAUAAAAAGAAGUUUGGACUUAACACAUGCUUCUGACUAUUGGAUUUUGAUUUUCACGAUGAUGUAGUUUUUGUUAGAAAUUGACUAAUUUAAUUACUUUAUGGAAAACAGAAGACAUGAAAAUACCAACACUAUGGUUUUACAAGUAUAAAUGCCAAAUGAGAAUAGCCUAUUGUUUACUUGGAGAUCCUUCUAAAAUUACUGCCUUAAAAAGGUUUAGUGGGUUAGUCUGGAACAAAAACAGACUCAGAAGAAAUCAGACUACAAAAAAUUAGAUUUUAAUUAAAACAGAGAAAAUGAUUAUAUGUUAUUGCAACGAUAGAGCAAUAGAAAGAUUUAACCUGUUCUAAUGUAUUGUGAUAGAAAGAUUUAACCUGUUCUAAUGUAUUGUGAUCCGUCUAUACAGUAAUACAAGGUCUAUUUUAAAAGAAUUACAGCAAAUGGAACCAAUAACAUGAUUUUGGUUCUAUCAAAUCUCUCUGAGUCAAAGCUUCACUUCCAACUGAAACAGACUUGGACUUCAGGAAAUUAAUAAUUCAUCUCACCAUCACUUUCAUUUUUCAUCCUCUGCCUUCAUCCAGUUGCGUUAACUCUGCUCAAAACUUCUGCUGCCUAAUCUCCUAUCCUAUCUCUUCUCCCCUCUAAGAACUAGUGAAGAAAUCUUUAAAAAUUUUAAAACUUUGACACUAUUUGGCCUCUAAUUGAUUAAGAAAUGGUUUUCUGGCCCAACCGCUCUCCGAGGAGCAGUGUCUGUUGCUAUCCUUCAGUCACUUUACUUAAUACAUUUUUCCCUGUGCAAGUGGCUGACACCCAUGCUCUGAUUUGAUACAGCUUAUGGAUGAUCACCCUUUCAAGGAGAGCCGCUUAGUAAAAUAUGCACACUUACCAAAAUUAAAAAUGCAUGCCUUACAAUUACCUAGAUGAGGUGGGGAUAUACUGCUACGUAGUUAAAAUCUAUGGAGGGGAAAAGAAAGGGGGAUGAGUUUGUUAUUUUGCCCUCUUGGGGAUUUCUUCCACAUUUUGCCAUCAAUAUACCCUCAACAAAAUUCUGUCCAAAAACUAUAAUACAAGUCACAGUAUGAUUUCAUCUCUUGAAGUCCUUGCUCUCCUUUUCCUUUCUUGGAAGAGACAUUAACUUUCUAAAUAUAUCCACAAAACUUUUUGCUUUUCAAAUAUCCUAGCAUCCCUCUAAGAGGGUGAGAUGCUUCCCUUUUGCUGUUCAUUUGGAAUCUAAGUGAGGCCCCAGUAAUUCCUAUUUCCUUGGAAAUUGAGCUGAAUCCUAUCUUUAAUCAGAAAUAGAGAUAAAAAGAAAUUUAAAAAAAAAUAGUUUUUAGAUUUAUGUUCAUGGCAUUUAGAAGUUUAUUUUGACAUUUUUUCCUUUUAGUUUUGUCUAAACAUGGCUGACUCUGCUAACAGUUUUAAUUAUAAGUAAUUUCCACUAAUUGAAAACUUACUUAGGGUGUAUGUGCACCAUCUAAUUUAACUCUCACAAAAAUCUUAUAAAGUAGAUACUAUUAUAACCUUGAUAUUAAUGAAAAACUGGAGGAUCAAAUGGGUUAAAUAUGCUUCUCAGGCUCCCGCAACAGUGAGCUUGAAAAUUUGAAUUGAGAUUUCUCUGAGUCAUAGCUUCUUAUCUUCUACUUUUCUGUUUCUAUCAUCUCGUCUCUAUCUCUAUCUCUAUCUCUAUCAAGAUUAGACUUUAGAGUUCCUGGGCAUUAUCUACCCGGGGCAAAAAGACCUUCCCUGAUUUAAUCCAAUGGAGGGGAAUGAAUUCAAAUGCCAUCUUUAUCAGUGCCUUAUUGGCUCAAAGAGGAAGUGAGAAAAAAACAAAACAAAAAAAACAAUAUUUAAAAGAACAACAAACAUUGGUAACUUUAGGAAACAAAAAAAUUAGACAGCAUGAAUUAAAAGGAGCUGGUUGAGGUUCUGAGCAAGCAGCACGGACCUGCUAAUGUGGCAUUUAACACUUGUGUUGUAUGACAGGUGGCUCAAGUUCAAGAGACACGGGGUGUAGUCCACUAAGGAAAAAAAAAAGUUUAGAAAAGAAACUUAAUCUCAGUUUUAAAUGACUAUGUUGUUUUAUCUUGUUAGCUAUAUUUUGUUACAUAUUCCAUUAGAUUUGCUUGGUUUAUAUUUUUUUGAAAGUAAAUCUACGUCAUUUUUGGGACUUUUUUUAUCCUUAGGAAUUAAUGAUAAGUGUGUGGGGUAGAACAUUGCUUGUUUGUUUGGUUUAUUUUGUCUGCUGGGCUUUUGACUCUGAGGAGAUUCUAACUUCUGUGCUAGCAUGGUAAGUGCUAAGUCUGGACUGUUUUGAAUGUCAUCUUUCCA